This 377-nucleotide ribosomal RNA is filed under the name uncultured bacterium. RNAcentral's name for it is "bacterial SSU rRNA". It matches the Rfam family "Bacterial small subunit ribosomal RNA", at positions 523 to 898 of the family's 1533-position model. The record is from RNAcentral.
AUACGUAGGUGGCGAGCGUUGUCCGGAAUUACUGGGUGUAAAGGGCGCGCAGGCGGGGAUGUAAGUCAGGUGUGAAAACCCGCGGCUCAACUGCGGGAUUGCAUCUGAAGCUACAUUUCUUGAGUACUGGAGAGGGAAGCGGAAUUCCCAGUGUAGCGGUGAAAUGCGUAGAUAUUGGGAGGAACACCAGUGGCGAAGGCGGCUUUCUGGACAGUAACUGACGCUGAGGUGCGAAAGCGUGGGGAGCGAACAGGAUUAGAUACCCUGGUAGUCCACGCUGUAAACGAUGGAUACUAGGUGUAGGAGGUAUCGACCCCUUCUGUGCCGGAGUUAACACAAUAAGUAUCCCACCUGGGGAGUACGGCCGCAAGGUUGAA